GCGGGAAGCCCCCUUCAAGAUGAGUUUUCCCUGAGACUUCGAGUCUCCUAAAGGGCCCAGGAAGACGACCUGGUUGAUAGGCUGGAUGUGUAAGCGCUGUGAGGCGUUGAGCUGACCAGUACUAAUUGCCCGUGCGGCUUGGCCAUAUAACGCCCAAGGGGU
Molecule: ribosomal RNA, 162 nt
Filed under: Saccharospirillum sp. MSK14-1
Lineage: Bacteria; Pseudomonadati; Pseudomonadota; Gammaproteobacteria; Oceanospirillales; Saccharospirillaceae
Description: partial 23S ribosomal RNA
Rfam family: Bacterial large subunit ribosomal RNA
Source: RNAcentral